GCGCCAGUAGCAUAACGGUUCAAUGCAGUAGGCUUAUAUCCUACCGAGAGAAGGUUCAAUUCCUUCCUGGCGUA
RNAcentral lists this transfer RNA (74 nucleotides) under Streptomyces phage Jay2Jay. It matches the Rfam family "tRNA". From Rfam's summary of the family: Transfer RNA (tRNA) molecules are approximately 80 nucleotides in length. Their secondary structure includes four short double-helical elements and three loops (D, anti-codon, and T loops). Lineage: Duplodnaviria; Heunggongvirae; Uroviricota; Caudoviricetes; Stanwilliamsviridae. The record is from Rfam by way of RNAcentral.